CUUCCUCUUCGUCAACUCCGCCCUCUUUCAAAGCCGUCGUCCCCAAAAUAUCAAUGAGAGGACCAAUCAACCCUUCCAAAGCCGUCGUUCCCAAAAUAUCAAUGAGAGGACCGUCCAUGCUGUGAGGGGCUGCAACCCACGUGGAGGCCGCCGUGGCCACCGCUGUUGGGGCCGUGUAGGGCGGCGCGCUCGGUGGGCUGAUGGGCACGCUCGCGCCCGACGGCGGGGCCGCGCUCCCCGUGCCGCCGCCGCCGCCCGGGCUCGACCCCAACGCCAUGGCCUCCUUCAAGCAAGCGCAGGCUUUAGCGGGUGGACCCCUGGUGCAAGCAAGGAACUUCACGGUCAUGACUGGCGCAAAUGCAGGCAUAUCUUGUGUUAUGAGAAGAAUAAGAGGAGUGGAGGAUGUCCAGGGCAGGGAAGGGUUUCCAAGUCCUUGUUUACUGUUCUGUAAAUAUUUGCAAGUACCGUAAGAGCCUUCAUGUAUUGUUGCACAAGUACACCUUACUUUUCCCUGCCUUCAGUAGCCAAUGGCAGGAUGCUUGACGCUUUGAUAGGAUAUGCUUAGCAAUUUGUACUUUACAAGAUUCUUUUGUUCUGAGUGAUUCAUCUUAUGUUAGCUGUAACUGUAAGCCCCCAUGCGAUGCACAGAAUUUCAAGAAACAGAAACUAGAUUGCACAUUUAAUUUCAUGCGGACCAAGUUUUUCUUAUCUGUUGUAUUAUCUACGUGCAGUUAUGUUGGAAAGGUUUGUUUAGAUCAUUUUUCGUCCUACAUGAUUGACAAUUUCUCAUUUGUAUAGCAUGCGAGGGGGUUCUUGUGCAGCGCCAAAAUAGAGGCGGCGGCGCGCGGGUUCUGUGUGGCGGGCUGAAUGCAGUGACAUGCUGGGAGGCCCCUCCCCUGCUUUGGACUGCAGCUGUGACGCCUCCCUGGUGCUGCUCGGUCCUUCCUCGUGCAGGCGUUAACUAUGUUUUGUAAUCCUAAAAUUACUCUUGUCUAUUAAGCACACAAUAUUAGGGACCAAUCAACUCUUUUCUAGCUUUUAAUCUGAUCAUGACUCUGACCUUAUAAUUUGCACUUUUGCAGCUUUGCCACAGUAAUUCUUUUUUUCUUUUGGGAAAUAAUGACGUGAGAAAAUUUUCAUCUGUGGAUCAAUUUUAACAGGACAUGUUCUGCAACUUGAUGAAUGAGACCACUUUUCAUUCAGUUCAGUUUCUACACAUAGUCUAACUUGUUGCUGUCACUGAUGAUGUUUUAGAACUAGAAGGACUAGCAGCCAUUUACCUAGUUAUUAUGCAUCUCUAAUGCUUUAGAUUGCUUGGAGAUUGAUACCUAAUUAUUUAGCAGCACUCUAUCUGGAAGCAAGUUAUGAAGCACAUAGAGUUAACCUUUUGAGAAGCAUGUGCUUCCUGUUAAGCCCUGUAAACUGAGAGCCACACUUCAAAUUUCAGUCCUGUUUAAAAGGUUGUCAAUUUGUCAUAUAGAGUCUUCUAGUGCUUGUGGUAUGGGUUUGGCAGUCAACUGGCUUGAAGUAGCACAGUUUUGAAAUUUUGGAUAUUUCUUUUCACUUUUCCAUGAAUGCAGUAACGCCCAUUACAUAGUUAGAACACAGAACUUUUCACCCUUUGGGUCAGUAGGUUUUGUGCGUCACUAUUUGUUCGGCCAGAUAUUGUCUAUAUGCUUGUACGCUAAUUCUGUUUGUGUUUUCCUAGGUUUGCUGUCUAACAUUGGAUAUGAAAUUGGACUAGAGAGCUGGUUAUGUUUACUUCAAUGCAACUAUUUGGUUGUUGAUCUCUAUGUUCAGCACUUCAUCCCCCUAGAUGAUAUCACAGCGAUUUCAAAACAACACUUAUCUGAGAGCGCGGCAGAUUCGUCAAGCAGGUUGUCGCAGCACAAUGCAGAUGCAUCUACCAGGUCUUCGCAAACCAGAAUGUUGACGACGCUAACAAAUUCUGCAGUUUGGAACUACCGUGUAUUACAAGGACUCGCUACAAUGAUGACAACGCUAGGACAUGGUUAUCCCAUCUAUGUAUUAUUAUAUAGAUAAACAACCCUGUGCUAACUAACUCUCUAGGUUUAUCUCCAACGUAUCGUAUUUCGAAAUUCAAACUUGUUUGUUAGCUCCUAUCUCUCAAUUUCUACUUCAGCGAUCUCCUUGUUUUUCUCGUUAUGGUUAGAUGAUCUCUUACCAUCUGACCGCU
Long non-coding RNA from Phragmites australis (common reed), 2197 nucleotides. RefSeq lists it as uncharacterized. The record is from RefSeq and is a predicted model, not a curated record. NCBI's taxonomy places the organism in Eukaryota, Viridiplantae, Streptophyta, Magnoliopsida, Poales, Poaceae. The transcript has 4 exons.